GUCCUUGCCGUAAACGAUGCAUACUUGGUGUAGCUGGACUCAACCCCAGCUGUGCCGUAGCUAACGUGUUAAGUAUGCCACCUGAGGAGUACGCUCGCAAGGGUGAAACUCAAAAGAAUUGACGGGGGCCCGCACAAGCAGUGGAGCAUGUGGUUUAAUUCGAUGCAACGCGAAGAACCUUACCCAGGCUUGACAUAUAGAGGACGGUACUAGAAAUAGUGCUUCCGCAAGGCCUCUAUACAGGUGCUGCAUGGCUGUCGU
Molecule: ribosomal RNA, 261 nt
Filed under: uncultured bacterium
Lineage: Bacteria
Description: partial 16S ribosomal RNA
Rfam family: Bacterial small subunit ribosomal RNA
Source: RNAcentral